This 774-nucleotide ribosomal RNA is filed under the name uncultured Neocallimastigales. Its description in RNAcentral is "partial large subunit ribosomal RNA". It matches the Rfam family "Eukaryotic large subunit ribosomal RNA", at positions 23 to 616 of the family's 3401-position model. The record is from RNAcentral. Lineage: Eukaryota; Fungi; Neocallimastigomycota; Neocallimastigomycetes; Neocallimastigales.
AGAGAGAGACAUGCGCGCAUAUCAAUAAGCGGAGGAAAAGAAACUAACUAGGAUUCCCUCAGUAACGGCGAGUGAAGCGGGAAGAGCUCAAAUUUGAAAUCUUCAAGGUUCUACCUUGACGAAUUGUAGUUUAAAGAAGUGUUUUCUGUUGGAGUUUUGGUAAAAGUUCUUUGGAAUAGGACGUCAUAGAGGGUGAGAAUCCCGUAUUUGACCAUUAUUUCCAACUUUGUGAUACACUUUCAAAGAGUCGGAUUGUUUGGGAAUGCAGUCCAAAAUGGGUGGUAAAUUUCAUCUAAAGCUAAAUAUUGGCGAGAGACCGAUAGCGAACAAGUACCGUGAGGGAAAGAUGAAAAGAACUUCGAAAAGAGAGUUAAACAGUACGUGAAAUUGUCAAAAGGGAAGCGUUUGACACCAGUGUUGCUUUUCUGAAAAUCAAUUAAAGAACUGUUUAUGCUAAGUUGUUUAGACUUUAUCAGCUAACUGUUUAGUUUUGAGCUUUUCUUUAAUGCACUUUUCAGUUAACAAGUCAACAUCAAUUUCUUUUGCUGUAAAAAAGCUUGAGGAAGGUGGCUUGAGAUUCGUCUUAAGUGUUUAUAGCCUCUUGCCUAUGCAGUCGGAGAGAUUGAGGUCUGCAGCGUAGAUCCUUCGGGGCUAAAUGCAUUUGUGCUAAGUUAUAGCAUUUUAUAGACAACUUGUUGACUAUGAUUUGUCUUGUAGCUUACUCGCUUAUGUUAUUUUACCUACGCUUAGGAUGUUGAGCGCAUGUCUCUCUCU